GAAGCCUUAUCUGCACCCCGGAAGGAAAAGAAUAGGUAUCCCUAAGAGCGUUCAGCUCCUCUAAAGUCAUGAUAUUAGUUUUUUCCUCUAUUGAGGGAUGAAUGGCGAUCAAAGGACUCUCCUCAGGUGAACCCUCCAUGGGCGACGACGGCGAUUGAUUUACCUCGUCAGCCAUAUAGGGGGAGCCUUCUCCUAAAUGGUCGGAUAUCCACGAAGGUAACGAAUCUAGGUCGCCCGAUCUAGUUACGUCGGAAUUACGGGACAUAAACUACGAGAACGAUAACUGUAAAUCAGGAGAAGAGUACUUACUGAAAGUAGAAGACGCCGGGCGAUCACGAGUAGGGCGAGGAGGAAAUAAAUGCGAGAGCAAUAGCUUGACAACAAUAGCAGAAAAGUACUAGUGAAAAGGGGGACCCCAUAUAUAUAGGAAACACUAAGGGUUCAGAUCCAUUCAAUGCAAUGAUUACUAUCAGGCGCCGUUCCGUCUCCCGAGGUAAUAAUUGCGUCUCCCGCCAAAAGGCCUCAUUAAUGCGCCGCCUCAAGCCUGUGG
Molecule: long non-coding RNA, 550 nt
Filed under: Actinidia chinensis (golden kiwifruit)
Lineage: Eukaryota; Viridiplantae; Streptophyta; Magnoliopsida; Ericales; Actinidiaceae
Description: long non-coding RNA (ACHI_LNC008319)
Source: RNAcentral